RNAcentral lists this unclassified non-coding RNA (32 nucleotides) under Canis lupus familiaris (dog). RNAcentral describes it as "RNA (32-MER) from Canis lupus familiaris (PDB 3DKN, chain F)". Lineage: Eukaryota; Metazoa; Chordata; Mammalia; Carnivora; Canidae. The record is from RNAcentral.
GGGUUCCUCAGCACUGCUGAUCAGCUGAGGGU